GUGGGGAAUCUUCCGCAAUGGACGAAAGUCUGACGGAGCAACGCCGCGUGAGUGAUGAAGGUCUUCGGAUUGUAAAGCUCUGUUAAUCGGGACGAAAGAGCCUAGUGUGAAUAAUGCUAGGAAGUGACGGUACCGGAAUAGAAAGCCACGGCUAACUACGUGCCAGCAGCCGCGGUAAUACGUAGGUGGCAAGCGUUGUCCGGAAUUAUUGGGCGUAAAGCGCGCGCAGGCGGAUCUGCCAGUCUGUCUUAAAAGUUCGGGGCUUAACCCCGUGAUGGGAUGGAAACUACAGAUCUAGAGUAUCGGAGAGGAAAGUGGAAUUCCUCGUGUAGCGGUGAAAUGCGUAGAUAUUAGGAAGAACACCAGUGGCGAAGGCGACUUUCUGGACGAAAACUGACGCUGAGGCGCGAAAGCCAGGGGAGCGAACGGGAUUAGAUACCCUGGUAGUCC
This 450-nucleotide ribosomal RNA is filed under the name uncultured bacterium. Its description in RNAcentral is "partial 16S ribosomal RNA". It matches the Rfam family "Bacterial small subunit ribosomal RNA", at positions 354 to 796 of the family's 1533-position model. The record is from RNAcentral.